Molecule: ribosomal RNA, 273 nt
Filed under: uncultured prokaryote
Description: partial 16S ribosomal RNA
Rfam family: Archaeal small subunit ribosomal RNA
Source: RNAcentral
GUGCCAGCAGCCGCGGUAAUACCGGCAGCCCGACUGAUGGCCGAUCUUAUUGGGCCUAAAGCGUCCGUAGCUGGCCGCGCAAGUCCAUCCCGGAAUCCACCUGCUCAACAGGUGGGCGCCCGGUAGAAACAGCGUGGCUUGGGACCGGAAGGCGCGACGGGUACGUCCGGGGUAGGAGUGAAAUCCCGUAAUCCUGGACGGACCGCCGAUGGCGAAAGCACGUCGCGAGAACGGAUCCGACAGUGAGGGACGAAAGCCAGGGUCUCGAACCGG